This 253-nucleotide ribosomal RNA is filed under the name uncultured bacterium. RNAcentral's name for it is "partial 16S ribosomal RNA". It matches the Rfam family "Bacterial small subunit ribosomal RNA", at positions 524 to 776 of the family's 1533-position model. The record is from RNAcentral.
UACGUAGGGUGCGAGCGUUAAUCGGAAUUAUUGGGCGUAAAGAGCUCGUAGGCGGUCUGUUGCGUCGGCUGUGAAAACCCGGGGCUCAACUCCGGGCCUGCAGCCGAUACGGGCAGACUAGAGUUCGGCAGGGGAGACUGGAAUUCCUGGUGUAGCGGUGAAAUGCGCAGAUAUCAGGAGGAACACCGGUGGCGAAGGCGGGUCUCUGGGCCGAUACUGACGCUGAGGAGCGAAAGCGCGGGGAGCGAACAGG